RNAcentral lists this transfer RNA (64 nucleotides) under Vinciguerria nimbaria (oceanic lightfish). RNAcentral's name for it is "tRNA-Cys". Lineage: Eukaryota; Metazoa; Chordata; Actinopteri; Stomiiformes; Phosichthyidae. The record is from RNAcentral.
AGUCCUGAAGUGUUUCACGUUAGAUUGCAAAUCUAAAAAAGUAGGUAGACGCCUACCGGGGCUU